Molecule: transfer RNA, 74 nt
Filed under: Pelosinus sp. UFO1
Lineage: Bacteria; Bacillati; Bacillota; Negativicutes; Selenomonadales; Sporomusaceae
Rfam family: tRNA
About the family: Transfer RNA (tRNA) molecules are approximately 80 nucleotides in length. Their secondary structure includes four short double-helical elements and three loops (D, anti-codon, and T loops). Further hydrogen bonds mediate the characteristic L-shaped molecular structure. tRNAs have two regions of fundamental functional importance: the anti-codon, which is responsible for specific mRNA codon recognition, and the 3' end, to which the tRNAs corresponding amino acid is attached (by aminoacyl-tRNA synthetases). tRNAs cope with the degeneracy of the genetic code in two manners: having more than one tRNA (with a specific anti-codon) for a particular amino acid; and 'wobble' base-pairing, i.e. permitting non-standard base-pairing at the 3rd anti-codon position.
Source: Rfam by way of RNAcentral
GGCUCCGUAGCUCAGCUGGAUAGAGCGUUUGACUUCGAAUCAAUAGGUCGGGGGUUCGAAUCCCUCCGGGGUCA